GACGAACGCUGGCGGCGUGCUUAAUACAUGCAAGUCGAACGGAAAGGCCCUGCUCUUGUUGGGUGCUCGAGUGGCGCACGGGUGAGUGUCACGUGUGUAUACUGUCCCUGACUUUGGGAUAAAUUCUGGAAAAUGGGGCUAAUACACGAUAGGAGCUCCUGAUGCGCGGUGGGGGAUGGAAAGUUUCGGCGGUGGUGGCUCGUAUCGCGGCUUAUCAGCUUGUUGGUGUGGUAGUUGCAUACCAAGGUUUUGACGGCUAGCCCGCCUGAGAGGUGGACCAGGGACAUGAGGACUAAGAGACGGCGCAGUCGCCUACGGGACGCAGCAGUGGGAAGUAUUGCGCAGUGAGCGGAAGCCUGAUACAGCGGCCCCGCGAGCGGGAUGACGUGCUACGGGGUGAGAACCACUUUCGCCUGUAACGAAGCGUGAGUGACGGUAAUUGGUAAAAAAGCACCGGCUAACUACGUG
RNAcentral lists this ribosomal RNA (468 nucleotides) under uncultured bacterium. RNAcentral's name for it is "partial 16S ribosomal RNA". It matches the Rfam family "Bacterial small subunit ribosomal RNA", at positions 28 to 507 of the family's 1533-position model. The record is from RNAcentral.